GAUGAACGCUGGCGGCGUGCCUAAUACAUGCAAGUCGAGCGAACGGACGAGAAGCUUGCUUUUCUGAUGUUAGCGGCGGACGGGUGAGUAACACGUGGAUAACCUACCUAUAAGACUGGGAUAACUUCGGGAAACCGGAGCUAAUACCGGAUAAUAUUUUGAACCGCAUGGUUCAAAAGUGAAAGACGGUCUUGCUGUCACUUAUAGAUGGAUCCGCGCUGCAUUAGCUAGUUGGUAAGGUAACGGCUUACCAAGGCAACGAUGCAUAGCCGACCUGAGAGGGUGAUCGGCCACACUGGAACUGAGACACGGUCCAGACUCCUGCGGGAGGCAGCAGUAGGGAAUCUUCCGCAAUGGGCGAAAGCCUGACGGAGCAACGCCGCGUGAGUGAUGAAGGUCUUCGGAUCGUAAAACUCUGUUAUUAGGGAAGAACAUAUGUGUAAGUAACUGUGCACAUCUUGACGGUACCUAAUCAGAAAGCCACGGCUAACUACGUG
RNAcentral lists this ribosomal RNA (497 nucleotides) under uncultured bacterium. Its description in RNAcentral is "partial 16S ribosomal RNA". It matches the Rfam family "Bacterial small subunit ribosomal RNA", at positions 28 to 507 of the family's 1533-position model. The record is from RNAcentral.